UUCUGAAAAAGGCAAAUUUGUCGAAAGGCAAAGACGCAAAGCUAUGGACCUAAGGGGUAAUAACCCUAUGGCUGCCAGGUUACCAGG
Molecule: non-coding RNA, 87 nt
Filed under: Clostridium cylindrosporum
Lineage: Bacteria; Bacillati; Bacillota; Clostridia; Eubacteriales; Clostridiaceae
Also listed under: 1 other name
Description: c-di-GMP sequence
Rfam family: c-di-GMP-I riboswitch aptamer
About the family: GEMM was predicted in a large-scale screen for bacterial structured RNA regulatory elements. Genes associated with GEMM are involved in a diverse array of functions, including chemotaxis regulation, signal transduction, secretion and chitin.
Source: RNAcentral